GAUGAACGCUGGCGGCGUGCUUAAUACAUGCAAGUCGAGCGAACAGGCGCGACGUUUGUUUCUUUGUUGUUAGCGGCGGACGGGUGAGACACACGUGGAUAACCCACCUAUCUGACUGGGAUCACUUCGAGAAACCGGAGCUAAUCCCGUAUGAUCUUUUGCACCGCAUGGUUCAAUAGUAAAUGACGGUCUUUCGGUCACUUCUCGAUGGAUCCGCGCUGCUUUAGCUGGUUGGUAAGGUAACGGCUUACCAAGGCAACGAUGCAUGACCGACCUGAGAGGGGGGUCGGCCACACUGGAACGGAGACACGGUCCAGACGCCUACGGGAGGGAGCAGUAGGGAAGCUGCCGCAAUGGGCGGGAACCUGACGGAACAACGCCGCGUGAGUGAUGAAGGUCUUCGGAGCGGAAAACUCUGUUAUUAGGGAAGAACAUAUGUGUAAGUAACUGUGCACAUCUUGACGGUACCUAAUCAGAAAGCCACGGCUAACUACGUG
This 497-nucleotide ribosomal RNA is filed under the name uncultured bacterium. RNAcentral's name for it is "partial 16S ribosomal RNA". It matches the Rfam family "Bacterial small subunit ribosomal RNA", at positions 28 to 507 of the family's 1533-position model. The record is from RNAcentral.